RNAcentral lists this ribosomal RNA (549 nucleotides) under uncultured Glomeromycotina. RNAcentral describes it as "SSU rRNA". It matches the Rfam family "Eukaryotic small subunit ribosomal RNA", at positions 548 to 1098 of the family's 1831-position model. Lineage: Eukaryota; Fungi; Glomeromycota. The record is from RNAcentral.
UUGGAGGGCAAGUCUGGUGCCAGCAGCCGCGGUAAUUCCAGCUCCAAUAGCGUAUAUUAAAGUUGUUGCAGUUAAAAAGCUCGUAGUUGAAUUUCGGGGUCAGCAGGUUGGUCGUGCCUCUGGUACGCACUGGUUUCGCUGAUUCCUCCUUUCUGAAGAACUGUAAUGUCAUUAAUUUGGUGUUGCAGGGAAACAGGACUGUUACUUUGAAAAAAUUAGAGUGUUUAAAGCAAGCUAACGCUUGAAUACAUUAGCAUGGAAUAAUGAAAUAGGACGUUUGAUCCUAUUUUGUUGGUUUCUAGGAUUGACGUAAUGAUUAAUAGGGAUAGUUGGGGGCAUUAGUAUUCAAUUGUCAGAGGUGAAAUUCUUGGAUUUAUUGAAGACUAACUACUGCGAAAGCAUUUGCCAAGGAUGUUUUCAUUAAUCAAGAACGAAAGUUAGGGGAUCGAAGACGAUCAGAUACCGUCGUAGUCUUAACCAUAAACUAUGCCGACUAGGGAUCGGAUGAUGUUAAUUUUUUAAUGACUCAUUCGGCGCCUUACGGGAAAC